Non-coding RNA from Phrynosoma platyrhinos (Desert horned lizard), 72 nucleotides. The record is from the annotation of a GenBank genome assembly. NCBI's taxonomy places the organism in Eukaryota, Metazoa, Chordata, Lepidosauria, Squamata, Phrynosomatidae.
GCCAGCAUGGUGUAGUGGUUUCAGCAUUGGACUACAACACUGGAGAUAAGGGUUCAAAUCCCUGUUUGGACA